UACGUAGGGUGCAAGCGUUAAUCGGAAUUACUGGGCGUAAAGCGUGCGCAGGCGGUUCGCUAAGACAGAUGUGAAAUCCCCGGGCUUAACCUGGGAACUGCAUUUGUGACUGGCGGGCUAGAGUAUGGCAGAGGGGGGUAGAAUUCCACGUGUAGCAGUGAAAUGCGUAGAGAUGUGGAGGAAUACCGAUGGCGAAGGCAGCCUCCUGGGAUAACACUGACGUUCAUGCCCGAAAGCGUGGGUAGCAAACAGG
RNAcentral lists this ribosomal RNA (253 nucleotides) under uncultured bacterium. Its description in RNAcentral is "partial 16S ribosomal RNA". It matches the Rfam family "Bacterial small subunit ribosomal RNA", at positions 524 to 776 of the family's 1533-position model. The record is from RNAcentral.